CGGUGACAGAACAAAUAAAAUUUCCUUGCUCUGAAUCACGCUCUACUUCCCGGCCGCGCCUUUCGAUUUACGGCGACGAACAACCAUGGGGAGGAAAGCCCAACAGGACGAGAAAGCUCGGCCUGCCGGCGAUCCCGAGUCCGAGGAGAAGAAGAGGCUGAGAUCCCUAGCCGUCUCAAAAAAAAUCCUCCGCCGCUCGCCGGCGAAUGCCUCUGCCCCUCUCGAGCCCUCGAAGGCCGUUGUUAAGCUUCAGGGCCGCGACAUAGUGAAGCGGGGUCAACGAAAAAGCCGUUAUCUCUUCUCUUUUCCGGGCCUUAUCGCCCCGCUUACCGGCGGUAAGAUCGGCGAUCUCGCGGACCUCGCUACCAAAAAUCCAGUCCUUUACCUUGAGUUCCCGCAGGGACGGAUGAAGCUGUUUGGCACCCAUGUUUAUCCGAAGAACAAGUACUUAACGCUGCAGCUCACCAAGUCGGCGAAAGGGGUUAUGUGCGAGGAUGUUUUUGAGAGUUUGAUUGUCUUUUCUGAGGCAUGGUGGAUUGGGCAAAAGGAGAAAAAUCCUGAGGAAUACCAGCUUGAGUUUCCUAAGGACUUAAAGGAGGGAAAGGAUUGUGAUUAUGACUUCAAGGGUGGUGCUGGGGCAACAUAUGAUGAAGCAUCUGGUGGUCAAAAAAGUGGGAAGGAAUAUGUGAAUCCACCUUCUCCUGAUAAUGAACUUGAGUCUGAUGGAUCUGACGAUUUUUCUACUGUCAUUAGCAAGGAUGCAAAGAUGCCUAUUGAAACAACUCCUCUUCGACAGUCUGCAAGGACAUCAAGAAAAACAUUGAAUGUUAGUUAUGCAGAAUCAUCUUCUGAGAAGGAUUCAGCUGAUAGUGAUACUGAGGCAAUUGAAGUGGAUGAGUUGAGGAUCAAUGCUGAAGCUGAUACAAAAGCCAAUAGUCCUGCUUUAAGAACUAGAGAUGAUUUCGGUGUAGUAGGACCAAUUGUUUGUUCUCCUGAGAAUGAUGCCAUCGUCACAAAAGAAAAUUUAGCUGAAGAAGCAAAGCAAACCUUGCAAAAGUCUUCUAGAAAAUCUCCAAAUAAAAAAGGGAAGCUAGUUCAAGCUCGGUUGUCUUCCUUAUUUGAAAAAGUAGCUGACAAGAAAUCUAAGCGGACCGAGGAUGAUACUCUUGGGACAAAAAGUCCUAGUGGUAAGAGGCAGCGGCUUCUUGCAAAGGAAAAGACUGAUGCAGUGAUGGCGAAAACUUCGAGCAACAAAGGCAAGAAGUCUCGUGGAAAGAGUGGGACUGGAUCUAAAACUGAAGCCAUGAAAAAGCGGUCUCAGGAAGUGGAUGACUGGAGUGAUGAUAUUUCAAGUGAAUCACAGAAUGAAGAUGAGGAUGGAGAUGAAGAUUGGGUGGCUUGAUUCGUAAAGUGUUGUUGGAGCAUGGUUGGUUUACUGACGGAAGCAUCUUUGCUAGUUAUUGAGUAAAACAUGAUACAAGAGGCUAGUACAGAAAGAGGUGGCUUUUAAUCUUUUGCGCCAAAAUCUAUAAAAUGAGUUCAUUACAGCUCGGGAAAUGAAUGUAAGCAAGUUUUGUUAGAAUCUGUCAGAACGUGUAGGUGCAUCUGCUUAAUACAUAGUAUGUGACAAUUCCAUUCAUUUGUUUGAGUGAUUAGUAGCAGUUUGAAUGAUUUUAUUUUAUUUUGUUUUUUAUUAAUGAGAGGUGGAAUCUGGAGCAAUACUUGAAUUGCCUUCAAUAUGAUAUGAAUGUUUUGAAAUUGGGCCUCCUCAACCCAAGGAUAGGACUAGAUACAUCAG
Molecule: RNA transcript, 1798 nt
Organism: Dendrobium catenatum
Lineage: Eukaryota; Viridiplantae; Streptophyta; Magnoliopsida; Asparagales; Orchidaceae
Gene name: DNA-binding protein RHL1
Exons: 13
Source: RefSeq, a predicted model, not a curated record